AUGAGGGGAAGAAAGGAUGCUUUGCCCUGGCCUCACCUCAGCUCGGUGGGUGGGGGUGGGAGAACCUCUCGCCGCCUCCUCUUCCUCCUCCUCCUCCUCCUCCUCCUCCACCACCACCUCCUCCUCCUUCUUCUCCACCUCCUCCCCAGCAGCGACGGUCACCGGCGGGCUGGGUGCGCGGCUCCGGCUCCCUCACACGGCCCCCGCCUCCCGCUCGGCUCCGGGGAGGACCCGGGAGCCGCCGCCGGCCUCCCCGCGGCAGCCACUCGGGGUGGAGGCUGCGCGCCUGCGCCUCUCCGCUGCUGCCUCCAGCGGGAGGCCGCGCCGGGCUCCGCCGCUCGGGGGGCGCCGGGGCUGUGGCAGCAUGCUGCUGUGCCACACGUUAGUAUGAGCUGCACAAUAAGCAGAAGUAAGACCUCCACAUCCUGCAGGUCAUUUAAAUUGGAUUCUGUAUGAAGAGUCAUCUGCAAGAAGUCCAAGAUGAUGCAUCUCUCCAUUUACACCUGCAAGAUGCACAAGAGACUUAUAACUAAGACAUCGCCUGAAGAAAGUUAAUAAGGUUGUUAGUAGUCUGCAUCGCUAAUGAAAAGUCUAUGGAUGAUUCUAGUCUUUUCCUUCAGGUCUUGAUGAAACCUGCAAAUGUCAGAAAGUUGAUUUUUCUGAAGAACCAGCAGCUAUAAGUAAAAAAGAAGAGAAAAACGGAGAAAAAAAGUAGAGAAAGACACUGACAAGAACUGCUACUGCUUGUGACUAAUCCGUUGCAAGCUUACAUGUACAUUUGCUUGCAUCUUAAUAGAUCUUUUAACCUAAUUUACUGAGUCUAUUUCUUUUUAAUUAACUUUCAUAAAAGUUCAGGUAUUUUUUCAUGAAGUACACAAAGUUCAGCUAAGAAAGCUAUUAUCAUCUACAGUAGCAAUACAGCAAUGUGGAAUUCAGUUUUUUUGAUUAAAAAUAGAUGCAUAAAUCAAAAGAAAUAAACCUGAAGUGUCUCACACCCUUUUACACUGUCCUCACUUUUCAGUGACAGUUAAAGAAUGAUAUAAAGAAUUCCUUUUUGUGUUUGCCUGUUCGACAUGACCAGUGCAAAUAAAUCACAUAGGCUUAGGAAGACAGGCAAUUAUCUAUCAGCAGGCUCAUUCAUUUCUAGACUGUAGGUGGAUGUAGUUUCAAACAGAAAGAAAAUGGCUUUCCGAAAAUCCACAUGCACCUGUUAAUUGUGAGAGAAGCAUAUAUAAUGCUCCAUGUAAAAUGAGAAUGCUACAUUUCAAUAAAAACUGUGAUUUCUCUGUCAGAAAUGCUAUGCACAUUCAAGUUGAAUUAUGCAGCAUACUACUUCUCAAGAUGGUUGUACAUCCUGAUCGAUCAGGUCAAGAGUUACGCAUUACCUAUAAAGCACACAUCAAGUGGGAAUGAUGCUGCAAGAAUAUUUACAUUUUCAAAGCAUUCUGCAUUUUCAAUGACAGCUGAAUGAACCAUCCCUUAAAAAAAAAAAAGGGAAGGAAAACAAUGAUACUUCAUUAAAUUAAUGAACCUGUUCAAAAGUAUGGAAUGAACAUCUAGCAAAUUAUAAUGAUCAUAGAACUUGCAACAGUAGGUGGUGGGGAAAAAAAGACUACUGCUAUCCUAUUUUGGAAAUUACUAUGACAGGGAACUAGGUUCCAUUCCAUUUAAAGAUUUCUUCAUGCAAAUUGCAUGAGGCAUUUUCUAAAAAUUGAGUGGAUUUCCAUAAUGGAAUUUUGGCAAAUUAAAUCAAAACAGGUUGCUAUGACAGUUCCUACAAAUAUUUCUAUUUUAGCUUUAUUUUGUAUUAUAAAUAUGUCAAGAUGAAGUCAUUCUUGUCAAAACAAAGUUAUCUUUCCUUUUGGGAAAAAUGUCCGGGCCUUUUCUCAAUGCUCUAAUUUUCCAUAUUCAUCAAAGUCAAGAUGAGGGCUAAUUUCAAAUGCUCUACAUACAUCUGCAUAAUCAUAAACCCACAUAAACAUAGCUUCAGUCUUAUAAAUGAGUGAUGUCAUUACAUACAGUAUUGUUAGCUUAACUGCCUUUCCUUACUGCUCUGUGUAAGAAGUGACUGAAAAAUAAAUGAUAUUUAACGUUGACAAAAUGGUUUCUAGUGGUUUCUCAAGUCAAUGGUGUAGACGCAGGUCAUUGCCAGAAAACAUUAACAGUCCUAGGUUUUGUUCCAGUAGCACAAUGCCAUGUGAAAUCCAAAUGGAAGCAGGGAAUUGCAUCUGCUCCUCUGUAAAUAAGAAACAGGUGGCCUCUUAAAGGUACAGCACAGAUUUAUCUUAAAAAAACAGCACAGAUUUAUCUUACAGAUUUUAUUGAUGAAAUCUUACAGAAGGAACUCAUUUAAUAUUGGUGCCAGUGGGCCACUGCAAGUGUUAGCUGAUUGAGAUUACAUCAAGAGUAAAAGAAAUGUCUUUCUGCAUCCAUUCAUAUACAACAGGAUAAAGUUGACCCAGAGUUUCUAUGAGGAAAAAGAUUUCCCAAACUGGGAACUGGGUCCUCACAGUCAAGAAGUAUAGAAAGGAGUUUAGAAAGGCUAUUUUCUGUUUUUAGUUUUUUAGACAUCAGUGUAAGAACUAUAGGUUGGAGACAGAGCUGCAAAAGAUAGUUUACUUGUGUGAGGUAAUAAACUUGAUAAAUUACUGUUAAAGAUGUUCAAUUAAAAUUUAUAGAUAUAAGUCCCUGAAAUUGACCCAGGCGUGUCCUAUAUCUAUGUAUUAAUCCUAGGUUUUAAAGGAAAGGGUUGUGGUUUUUUUUUGGAUGUCUGUUGCUUGUAUCUCCUAAGACUGGCUGACAUCUGCGUUGGUUUAUGACACACCCUCAAAAUGUGAUUCAAGUACUACAACAGAGCAGCAAGGUUUGCUUGAGUUCUGUCAAGAAAUUACAAAUAGUUUGAUUAAUAGCAUCAUAUUUUUUGGUUCUCUGACGUUGCUAACAAACAAGGAAAAGAGAAAGUCUCAAAGAAAGGAAUAAAAUGACCAGAGUGCAUACAGAAGAAGGGAGACAGAAAGUAUAAUAUUCUGAAAAGGCAGGCAGAAAAGAGCUGAUUUAAGAUUGAUGAGCUGAGGAACUGCAGAAGCUGGAGUUACCUGCAUUUUUUCAGCACAUGUUGAAAGGUAUUCUGCUUGAAGGGGUACAGUGCAGACUUCUUUCUUGGUCUUUUCCUCUCCAAACCUCAGAGAUGGCUCAGAGAU
This 3200-nucleotide long non-coding RNA is filed under the name Cairina moschata (Muscovy duck). RNAcentral's name for it is "domestica (muscovy Duck (domestic type)) lncRNA (ENSCMMG00000013863.1)". Lineage: Eukaryota; Metazoa; Chordata; Aves; Anseriformes; Anatidae. The record is from RNAcentral.